GACGAACGCUGGCGGCGUGCUUAACACAUGCAAGUCGAACGGAAAGGCCCUGCUUGCAGGGUACUCGAGUGGCGAACGGGUGAGUAACACGUGGGUGAUCUGCCCUGCACUUCGGGAUAAGCCUGGGAAACUGGGUCUAAUACCGGAUAGGAGCCAUUUUUAGUGUGAUGGUUGGACAGUUUUUUCGGUGUAGGAUGAGCUCGCGGCCUAUCAGCUUGUUGGUGGGGUAAUGGCCUACCAAGGCGGCGACGGGUAGCCGGCCUGGGAGGGUGGACGGCCACAUUGGGACUGAGAUACGGCACAGACUCCUACGGGAGGCAGCAGUGGGGAAUAUUGCACAAUGGGCGCAAGCCUGAUGCAGCGACGCCGCGUGGGGGAUGACGGCCUUCGGGUUGUAAACUCCUUUCGCUAGGGACGAAGCUUUUUGUGACGGUACCUAGAUAAGAAGCACCGGCUAACUACGUG
This 465-nucleotide ribosomal RNA is filed under the name uncultured bacterium. Its description in RNAcentral is "partial 16S ribosomal RNA". It matches the Rfam family "Bacterial small subunit ribosomal RNA", at positions 28 to 507 of the family's 1533-position model. The record is from RNAcentral.